GUUCUAUGCGACGGCUGUAUUUGGCAUUUGCAUUCUUCAGUUGUUAGGAAGCGCCCCAUUCCUAUUUAGAAAUAUCUCUAGAGAACCAGAGAAUAUCCAACUUUCUUAUUGAAUCGUUGCAGUGAUGGGUUUCGUCUUCGAAUUUUCCACCUUCGUUCUAUAAGUCAGUCGUGGUUGCCGGCCCGUGGCACGAAAUUUCUUUCAAAAUCUUCUAUUUCGCUGCUGUAAUGAAUGAUCAGUUGAUCGUCGUUGACCAAGUUCUUUGACUCAUAUCGGUUCUCUCGUUUCACGAAGAACAGAAAUCACAUUCUCUGUAGAUCAGCGAAUGGAACUGGGUUCUGCACAUCGAUCAAUUGGUAUCGAUAAAUUAUUUCAUUCGAUAACACCAAUAAACGAAUGACCUACAGUGCAGAGACAAUCGGCAACACACGUCUACAUAACACAGCCUCCCAUCCGACCCGUCUUGUAACACGGACCAAGGAAUUCAGUAGGCACGCGAGUCGUUGACGUUUUUCAUUGAACAGUCGAAGGCGAAAUGAAAGUGUUAAUGAAAAUGAACUGUACUUCUUUAUGGAGUGCUGUUCAAUUUUUCAACAUGAUCGUCCUUUUUUGUGCUUAAUUGUGCAAAAUAAUAGAUGUAUGGGGACGCGCAGUGUGGUGCCGUUGAAUAGUCGCACUGUUCUCUCUUUCUCUUCGGGGUUGGAGGAACAAUUGUCGAUCAGUCGGUUUCGGAGCGUGCACACUGGUACCCGAAAGAUGGUGAACUAUGCUUGAGCAGAAUGAAGCCAGAGGAAACUCUGGUGGAAGUUCGUAGCGGUGUUGACGUGCAAAUCACUCGUCUGACUUGAGUGUAGGGGCGAAAGACUAAUCGAACCAUCUAGUUGCUGGUUCCCUCCGAAGUUUCCCUCAGGAUAGCUGGCAUUUGUUUGUAACAAUUUUAUCCGGUAGAGCGAAUGAUUAGAGGUGUUGGGAACGCAAUGUUCUCAGCCUAUUCUCAAACUUCGAAUGGGUAAGCAAGGCGUUUUGCUUUGAUUUUACGAUGAAAUCGCCCAAUUAGAAUGUAUAAAUGCCUAGUGGGCCAAUUUUGGUAAGCAGAACUGGCGAUGUGGAAUGAACCAAAAGUCAGGUUAAGGUGCCAGACAUUGGCGCUCAUGAAAUACCAGAAAAGGUGUUGGUCGAUAUAGACAGCAGGACGGUGGCCAUGGAAGUUGGAAUCCGCCAAGGAGUGUGUAACAACUCACCUGCCGAAUCGACUAGCCCUGAAAAUGGAUAGCGUUUGAGCUCCAGGCCCAUACCUGACCGUCUCAAUUACGCACUUUUUUUUCGGAAAAGGUGUAAUGAACGUUGAGACGGGUAGGAAGGUCGCGACAGUGUUGCUUUGAAGAGUUUUGAGCGUGAGCUCGCUCGGAGCCGCUGUUGGUGCAGAUCUUGGUGGUAGUAGCAAAUAUUCAACAAAUAUUCAAGUGAGAACCUUGAAGGCUGAAGUGGAGCAAGGUUCCAUGUGAACAGCAGUUGGACAUGGGUCAGUCGAUCCUAAGAAAACGGCGAAAGCUUGUUCGAAUUUGCGACAUGAAUUGUAAGACUGAAUAAUUAUUUGUGUGUGUGUUGUGGUGGAGGCGAUUGUGUCGUCACCAGUUGUUGUUGUGUGCAGUUGUCGUAUGUUUUCGAAAGGGAAUCCGGUUGAUAUUCCGGAACCGAGUAACGGAGACAAAGAGUAGCGCUUUAAUCUCUCUGUGGGGUUGGCGUUCAACUCAAUCGCGCGGUAACGCAAGCGAACUCGGAAAAUGACCGUCGUGAGUUUCGAAAAGAGUUUUCUUUUCUUUUUAAGGGACGCAUUCCCUGGAACCGGGUUGUCCGGAGAUAGGGAUUCUGGUAUCCAUAAAACGCAAUUUUUCGCUUCUUUGCCGCUGAAGAUGAUCUCUGGGACGCUUGAUCAUCCAUAAAUUCCGCCAACAAACCAAACGAACUCUCAGAACAUGCUGGUGACGCCUGGUAAAUCUCGUACUUGGUCGUACUGAUAUCCGCAGCAGGUCUCCAAGGUGAAUAGCCUCUGGCCGAUAGAAUAAUGUAGGUAAGGGAAGUCGGCAAAACGGAUCCGUAACUUCGGAACAAGGAUUGGCUCUAAGGGCUGGGCCGAUCGGGCUGAGGUUUCAAGCGUGCAGUGUAUGUUGGCUUAGCUGUGUUGAGGACUUGUUCACUUGCCACCGGUUGUUCGGCUGGUCGAGUGUAUUCGAGUCUGAAGCAGAGCUGGCCGACAGACCGGCACGUGCAGAACCUGAGCUGCGCGGCUGUCCGUUUUCGUGUACAGACCGUUUCGGUCGGCAUUCAACAGCCAACUUAGAACUGGCACGGACACAAGGAAUCUGACUGUAUAAUUAAAACAAAGCAUUGCGAUGGCCGAUGAUCGGUGAUGACGCAAUGUGAUUUCUGCCCAGUGCUCUGAAUGUCAAAGUGAAGAAAUUCAAUCAAGCGCGGGUAAACGGCGGGAGUAACUAUGACUCUCUUAAGGUAGCCAAAUGCCUCGUCAUCUAAUUAGUGACGCGUAUGAAUGGAUCAACAAGAUUCCUUCUGUCCCUAUCUACUAUCUAGCGAAACCACAGCCAAGGGAACGGGCUUGGCAAAAUCAGCGGGGAAAGAAGACCCUGUUGAGCUUGACUCUAGUCUGACUCUGUGAAGAGACAUGAAAGGUGUAGCAUAGGUGGGAGAUUGUCAAUUUGCCAUCGUUCACGCGA
Molecule: ribosomal RNA, 2732 nt
Filed under: Trichinella spiralis
Lineage: Eukaryota; Metazoa; Nematoda; Enoplea; Trichinellida; Trichinellidae
Description: eukaryotic LSU rRNA
Rfam family: Eukaryotic large subunit ribosomal RNA
Source: RNAcentral